CACUUUACCAUGUCCCAAGCUUCAGUGCAUUUAAAGGGAGAGACCCACAUUGGGGUGUUCCAGACAUCAUAAAAAACCCUGGGAAGACAACAUUUCCCAGCAUUCCAGUGAGGGAGGAGAGGAGGAACAGAGAGAAAGGAAAGGAAAGGGAAAUAGAGACGUCUGCCACCUGCUCUCCUGCUACUGUCAUCAUCAUACCUGUCAGAGCAGCAGCCAAGAAAAAAUGUGGCUGCAUGAAUAACAAUAGAAAUGGCCACAGAUUAUGAAACACAAAAAGCCAAGUAAGAUAUUCCUCAUGAUGGCAUUUCCUACAAAACAUGAAGCAGACAACAGCAGCAUCUAUUACAGAGACAUCUUACAGUGUGAUUAUUU
Molecule: long non-coding RNA, 372 nt
Organism: Hemicordylus capensis (graceful crag lizard)
Lineage: Eukaryota; Metazoa; Chordata; Lepidosauria; Squamata; Cordylidae
Exons: 3
Source: RefSeq, a predicted model, not a curated record